Molecule: non-coding RNA, 76 nt
Organism: Podarcis lilfordi (Lilford's wall lizard)
Lineage: Eukaryota; Metazoa; Chordata; Lepidosauria; Squamata; Lacertidae
Source: the annotation of a GenBank genome assembly
ACCCGAAGGAUAGCUCAGUUGGUAGAACAUAAGACUUUUAAUUUCAGGGUCAUGGGUUUGAGCCGUACAUUGGGCA